This 478-nucleotide ribosomal RNA is filed under the name uncultured bacterium. Its description in RNAcentral is "partial 16S ribosomal RNA". It matches the Rfam family "Bacterial small subunit ribosomal RNA", at positions 28 to 523 of the family's 1533-position model. The record is from RNAcentral.
GACGAACGCUGGCGGCGUGCUUAACACAUGCAAGUCGAGCGAUGAAGCUCCUUCGGGAGUGGAUUAGCGGCGGACGGGUGAGUAACACGUGGGCAACCUGCCUUGUAGAGAGGAAUAGCCAUCCGAAAGGAUGAUUAAUACCUCAUAAUAUUGUAGCUUCGCAUGGAGCAACAAUCAAAGGAGCAAUCCACUAUAAGAUGGGCCCGCGGCGCAUUAGCUAGUUGGUGAGGUAACGGCUCACCAAGGCGACGAUGCGUAGCCGACCUGAGAGGGUGAUCGGCCACAUUGGGACUGAGACACGGCCCAGACUCCUACGGGAGGCAGCAGUGGGGAAUAUUGCACAAUGGGGGAAACCCUGAUGCAGCAACGCCGCGUGAGUGAUGACGGCCUUCGGGUUGUAAAGCUCUGUCUUCAGGGACGAUAAUGACGGUACCUGAGGAGGAAGCCACGGCUAACUACGUGCCAGCAGCCGCGGUAA